RNAcentral lists this ribosomal RNA (217 nucleotides) under uncultured bacterium. RNAcentral describes it as "partial 16S ribosomal RNA". It matches the Rfam family "Bacterial small subunit ribosomal RNA", at positions 1276 to 1500 of the family's 1533-position model. The record is from RNAcentral.
CGAAAGCCUAUCUCAGUUCGGAUUGGAGGCUGAAACCCGCCUCCAUGAAGUUGGAUUCGCUAGUAAUCGCGCAUCAGCCAUGGCGCGGUGAAUACGUUCCCGGGCCUUGUACACACCGCCCGUCAAGCCAUGGGAGCCGGGGGUGCCUGAAGUUCGUUACCGCAAGGAUCGACCUAGGGCAAAACUGGUGACUGGGGCUAAGUCGUAACAAGGUAUC